UCCCCCUCUCCCUCUGCCUGCCUCUCUGCCUACUUGUGAUCUCUGCUUGUCAAAUAAAUAAAUAAAUAUUUUUUUUUUUAAGGGGGUAGAAGGAAAGUAGGGGUCACCGAGCCAAAUGAGUCAGUCAUACAAGGAAACCUUUGAAAAAGAGAGAUCUGGCUGAAGAAACCUUUUUCCUCACUCUCAGUUGGUGAAACAGAGACCCGGGGAGUUCUCUGUGGUAGGUCGAGCCUCCCAGGUUAGGAGCGGAGCAGGACAAGGGACAAGGCCUUCCCAAAUCCUGUCAACAGCCCAGUCACCUGGGGCAGGCCGCUGGGCACUUUCCUGCCUCAGUGCUUCUCUGUGACCUGGGGACGCGUCGCUCACCUGCCUUCCAGGCAAGGAAGCUGCUGUUAGAGGGGUUCGGUGGUGGACGAGGGGCUGCAUCCAAGGACCUGCUCUCCAGGCUUGGACGGCCAGUCUCUCUCAGGGAAUGUAUUGCUCUACCCAGAAGAUGCUCGGAGGAGUUCGACAGCCUGAUGAAAGGCCCAGGGGAGUGUUGGGUGCAGGAAGUCUUUCCUAGACGCUGCCCGCCUGUACAGCCUGGGACAAAGCCAGAGAGGCAGAGCCUGUCCUUGAUGAAGAAUAGGAGACGGAGAGAGGCUCCGUGACGGCGGCGGCUGCCCGGCUCACGCGUGUAUGUUCAGGAUCUGAACAAAGGUUAUCCGGCCCAGAACCCUGUUCUUAAUCACUAAGGUCACAGGACUUUUGUAUGAAACAGCUUGAGACCCAUCUCGAAAUCGGGAGAAUGUCCUUCCUGCUUCCCUGGGCGCCUGACUCUGUCCCUCAGUGGACCCAGGUGCUCCUGGGUGCUUCCUCAGGCCUGGAAAAUGAUUAAGAAAUCGGCUGUGACAGGGACACCCUUCCCGGCUACCUGACAGCUGGGGUCACCCCACGCUGAAGACAGAGAGGGAGACAAAUCCUAAGAGACUCUUAACUCUAGGGACAAACUGAGGUCCUGGAGGGGCGGGGAUGGGGGAUGGGGUGACUGGGUGACGGGCAUGAAGGAGGACCCG
Molecule: long non-coding RNA, 1055 nt
Organism: Mustela lutreola (European mink)
Lineage: Eukaryota; Metazoa; Chordata; Mammalia; Carnivora; Mustelidae
Exons: 3
Source: RefSeq, a predicted model, not a curated record